This 253-nucleotide ribosomal RNA is filed under the name uncultured bacterium. RNAcentral describes it as "partial 16S ribosomal RNA". It matches the Rfam family "Bacterial small subunit ribosomal RNA", at positions 524 to 776 of the family's 1533-position model. The record is from RNAcentral.
GACGAACCGUGCGAACGUUGUUCGGAUUCACUGGGCUUAAAGGGCGCGUAGGCGGGCAAGCAAGUCCGGGGUGAAAUCUUUCGGCUCAACCGGAAAAGUGCCUUGGAUACUGCUUGUCUUGAGGGAGGUAGGGGUCAUGGGAACUUCCGGUGGAGCGGUGAAAUGCGUUGAUAUCGGAAGGAACGCCGGUGGCGAAAGCGCAUGACUGGAUCUCUUCUGACGCUGAGGCGCGAAAGCUAGGGGAGCAAACGGG